Molecule: ribosomal RNA, 492 nt
Filed under: uncultured bacterium
Lineage: Bacteria
Description: partial 16S ribosomal RNA
Rfam family: Bacterial small subunit ribosomal RNA
Source: RNAcentral
AUUGAACGCUGGCGGCAUGCUUUACACAUGCAAGUCGAACGGUAACAGGCCUUCGGGUGCUGACGAGUGGCGAACGGGUGAGUAAUGCAUCGGAACGUACCCAGAGGUGGGGGAUAACGCAGCGAAAGCUGUGCUAAUACCGCAUGUGAUCUGAGGAUGAAAGCGGGGGACCGAGCAGCAAUGUUUGGCCUCGCGCCUUUGGAGCGGCCGAUGUCGGAUUAGCUAGUUGGUGGGGUAAAGGCCUACCAAGGCGACGAUCCGUAUCUGGUCUGAGAGGACGACCAGCCACACUGGGACUGAGACACGGCCCAGACUCCUACGGGAGGCAGCAGUGGGGAAUUUUGGACAAUGGGCGCAAGCCUGAUCCAGCAAUGCCGCGUGCGGGAAGAAGGCCUUCGGGUUGUAAACCGCUUUUGGCAGGAACGAAACGGUGUCCGCUAAUACCGGGCGCUAAUGACGGUACCUGCAGAAUAAGCACCGGCUAACUACGUG